Molecule: long non-coding RNA, 818 nt
Organism: Nerophis lumbriciformis (worm pipefish)
Lineage: Eukaryota; Metazoa; Chordata; Actinopteri; Syngnathiformes; Syngnathidae
Source: RefSeq, a predicted model, not a curated record
CUCUUCGUGACACAGGACUUCUUAUUCAUGCUCUGGAUUCUUCUCCUACAUUCCAGUUCCUGCACGACCUUUCGCCUACCUGCCCAGUAUAAUCUUCCUCCUGGCUCAGGAAUAUACAUGUAUCUGUGGCGUCAAUACACCUUUACUUUCGCCGGGCGAAUCAUGUGUGGCGGGACACCUAGACGGCCUUGUAACAUACUGCCCGCAACAGAAGAUGGUGAUUAGACUGAAGUGACAGUUGCUAGUCCCUAGACAGUCCAGAGAUCCAACGUCUGUAACAGCUCAGGAGGUGCCCUGCUCUGCCUUGAAUCUUCCGGGACAUGGAGCAGAGAGAGUAGGAAGCAUAUUCAAAACAACCUUCUCUUGACAUCCUUCAUCUAUCACAGCGAUGUUUAGGUCAUUGACUUCUUCACAAUCAUUAUCUUUCUUGUUUGAAAACCAUCUGUUUGUACAAUUUUAUAAUACAUCCUCCAACAAAAUGUUAAGACUGGGAGUAUACUACAAGUAUUCAUAUUUAGUACUGGUGGACAGUAACCAGAUGGUAAGAAUUAGUAGAGUCAUGCUAGUGCGAACCUAAAGUUCCAUCUUUAUAAGUUAUGUCCCAGAUGGUUAUUGGUUGAAGUCAGCCUCAAAAAGGGCCUUCAUUUGGAUGGAGGACGGGCCUGUACUUUGUUGCAUCCUCCUGCUUAGUGCAUGUGAAUUAUUUUUGGGUUUACCACUUAACUUUUUUGUGACAUAACCAAGGACCAAAUCUGGAUUUCAGAAGGGAGGUGACAACUGGCUCGGGUACGCAGCAUGUGACUUGAAAGGGGAGUGGU